RNA transcript from Manihot esculenta (cassava), 5849 nucleotides. It is a transcript of the gene named cyclin-T1-4, with no coding region annotated. The record is from RefSeq and is a predicted model, not a curated record. Lineage: Eukaryota; Viridiplantae; Streptophyta; Magnoliopsida; Malpighiales; Euphorbiaceae. The transcript has 7 exons.
UGCUAAAUAAAAACCCCUAACAACAACAACCCAACCAAACUCACCGAACUGAAGAAAAGAAACCACCGAAAUUUUGGAUAGGAAAAAAAAGAUCAAAUAUUUAUCUUCAUUCGCGCACGUCUCUCUCUCUCUCUCUCUCUCUUCUAUUCGUUUCUUUGACCUCCCUUUACGCUUUCUCUUCUUUUAAACCCCUAUAACAAUCUUUUAUCAGUUUCACGCUCAGUUCUAAGGCAAAAAAAGGAAAAUUUUCUCAUCUGAAUUUUGUUCAUUAUCUCAAUCACGGGGCUUAGAUCUAAAUUUAUAACUGAUCAGCAACAAUGUCUUUCGCUCGGAAUUACCAUUCACAAGGUGGCACUCUCCAUGAUGAUCGUUGGUCCUCUUUCAAUAGAAACAACUACAAUAACAGGAACCGAAGUAUGAACACAAAUAGGACCAACAGUUACAACCAUAACUGGAAUUAUAACCAUUUCCAUGACUUCCCUGGAAAUUUCAGGGACCACAUUAACAACGCUUACAAUUAUGUUAAUAUUCCUAGUGGUGCUCCAUCCUUGAAAAGGAGAAAAUUUAGUGCUGGCACUUGGGGAGACGUUGGGAGACAUUUUGUGAAACACAUCAGCUAUGAAACCACUGUUCCUUCAACCUGCAACAAUUCUGUCCCUCCUGCAAGAUCAAAUGCUGAGACAUCCACGUCUACCAGCUGCAAACGUGACCGCACAAAAUUGGAAGAUGAUGAACCGGUAUUUAUGUCGAGGGAUGAGAUUGAGAGACACUCCCCAUCAAGAAAAGAUGGUAUUGAUGCACUACGAGAAACCCAUUUGCGGUAUUCUUACUGUGCAUUCCUUCAGAAUCUUGGACUGCGGCUUGAGUUGCCUCAAACCACUGUUGGUACUGCCAUGGUUUUGUGCCAUCGUUUCUUUGUUCGAAGAUCACAUGCUUGCCAUGAUAGAUUUAUUAUCACAGUUAUGCUCAUCACAAAUGGUCUGCCACUGUUGCAGUUAAUUGCUACUGCUGCUAUUUUUCUUGCUUCAAAGUCUGAGGAGUCGCCACGCCCUUUGAACAAUGUACUGAGAGCAUCUUGUGAGAUUUUUCACAAGCAAGAUAUGACUUUUUUGUCAUGUCUUCUCCCUGUUGAUUGGUUUGAGCAGUAUCGGGAGCGAGUGAUUGAAGCUGAGCAAAUGAUACUGACAACUCUAAAUUUUGAACUUGAUGUGCAGCAUCCAUAUGCUCCUCUUACAUCUGUCCUUAACAAAUUAGGGUUUUCACAAACUGUUUUGGUGAACUUGGCCUUGAACUUGGUCAGUGAAGGGGUCUACGCAAGAUUGCGUGCUUAUUAUCUGGCGGAUUGAUAUGCUGUGCAUGGAAAGUUUUUUUGUUUUAACCUCUGAAGUUGAACUGCCGAUAUAAUGUGGAUCACAUAAACAUGACUAUAUCCCCCAUCAACCUGGUUAUCUGCUAUAAAGAUAGCCUCAGAAAUUCCGUAAUUGCUUUUGCUGUUUAACUUAAUUCCAAUUUUUCAUAUCUUAUUUGGACAAAUUCUCUAGGUCCUUCAAUACAAACUUCUAGUUUGAGAAACCUGGUUGAUUUUCCCAUUGUCCUCCCUUCAGACAUUGGGAGGAAUUCUGCUGAUUGGGCUUGAACCAGAGACUGUCUAUGGUUGUCUUCCCCUGCAUUAAAUGAUUUUUGUAACUUGCUUCCUCAAAUAAUUGGUGCUAGUUGUUUUUCAUGUAAAAUGUUUUUAGUUGCAUAGUUUAUCGUGAAACCAUGUUGGAUUUUUACGUAAUCCAUUUUUGCAUUUCUUGAGCUUUUCAAAAAUUAGUUUUUUCUUUCUAGCUCAAAUUCAUUAAUGAACAAUACUUUUUUAUCAAAAAAGAUUUCAGACAUUUGUCUAAAGGUAUUUCCAUUUGAUACAUGAGUUUCAAUUGGUUUCUGUUGCAUAGUAUAAUCUAGUUUGAGUUCAGUGUAUGUUCUGAAAUGGUAUUUGUGUUAACAGUUUAGCGGGAACAUGUCAUUUAUGAUGGUAUAAUUUAAAAGUGUCAUAAUCUUGUCAGCAAAAACCAUGUAGGGAUGGGGGAUAGAACAAACAACUCCACCUAUUUACGAAAUAGCCUAUUCAUGAAGGGUUCUAACUUCUAAUAGUUGUUUACAGCAUAUAUUUUAUCCAGUACUUGUAGGUGCUAAAACUUGAAUCGAUUAUGUCACAUGGUGAAGACCUUCCAAUUGGGAGACCACUAUUAACAGUAUUACUCGAUCCCUAAAAUGGACUUCCUAAUACUGCUGGAAGUUUUGAUAGAGAUGGUCUAUUGUUAACUUAAACCUUUUUUCAGCCUUAAUUUAUGUAUACAUAUAACAUUAUAUUAUGCUAUAUGCAUGAAAUAUGUUCUCCAUAUCUCUUAUCAUUUUGUAUCUUGACUUCUCUUGCUGUCACUUCUUUUUCUCUUCAACAGCAAUCUAGUAUAUAAGUUGUUUUUUUUAAUUGGAGGAUGCUUAUUAUCUUUCUUUUCAGUAAAGAGGAUACUUACCUUCUGUGUUAUAUAUAUAUAUAUAUAAAGAGGACAUUAUUAUACUUCCUGUUCAAUAUUUUCACCUUUGAAAGUACAUGCAUUUCAUAUUAAAUGAAAAUCAAGAGAUUAUAUUCUUGAAGAAAAAAGCAUUCUCUAGUGAAAGUAUAGUUUUUAAAGGUGUGCUAAGGCCCAAUGUGCACAGGUUGCUAGUGCCUCUGCCAAGCUAAGGCAGCCAGGCAGGUGCCUGAACAGGAGUGCACCCUUUGGCUGGCACAAUACGUAGAAAAAACUUAUCAUGCAAUUCUUUUAUUGAGAUACUGAAAGGGGGGAAAACAAAAGAAAAAAAAUUAUAGGUAACAACCUCCACUAAUAAGGACAUAAUCAUAUUUUGCAAGGUAAAAGUUACCUCCAAUUUUUUCCCUUCCUUUUUCCCGUAACUAAUUUGAUUUGAUUUUUUUUUUUGCUACCUUUGCUUUUCUGAUAUUCUAACAUGAUCACAUGUUCAUAUGUUAUCCACAGAAAUGUGUAGUUUUAUCCUCCCCACACAUCUCCCUCAUUUACUUGUCUGAUGAGUUUGUAGGAUGUGAUCAUUUCUGAGAGUUCAUUUCUUGGUUUAGGAUUACAAAUAUUACACCUCUAUAGAUGACUCAUUGUAUUAAACUUUGAAUGUCUGUCAUUCUCUCUUCUUUGGUCCAGUAUAGAAUUAAUUGAAUUAGGCAUAAUGCAUUAAGGUGCCAAAGGAAAGAAUAUGGCUUCUCACUGUUCUAGAAAUUGUUUUACAUUGUUGUUUUUAUAUGUAAAUGCAUUCUCUGUAGCUUGUAAAUUCCUGAAAUGCUUUUGACUAAUCUCAACCAAAAGCUGGCAAUGUGAACGGAUGAGGAAAGGUUCUUCUCCUUGAUCCCUCUUUUGUGAAGAAAGAGGUCGCAAAAUGAAAAAGAAAGCAAUUUUUCUUUCAAAUACAGGCUAGUUGUCAUGGAGUCAUGUUAGGUGUCAGUUUGGUGUCUGUACCUAUUGCUUUGAUAGGCUUAGUAUGCCUUUUGCUGUUUUCUUCUUGCACUUUGACUCAUCUAGUGAUAAUUUUAACUGAGAUAAAGAAUGUUAUAUAAUAAUUGUCUCUGUGCAGAUUACAAAUUGCACAAGCCCAUGAUAUGUUAAUUAAAUAAAUGUAUUUUUCCUGGCUAAAAAAUGAUCUUAUUGUUAGCUUCUUUUUGUUUCAUUCCUUCACCAUGUACUUCUGAAGGUUGUCAAGCCUGAUUCUUGUAAUGCUUAAAAUUAUGUUCCCUUGAGAAGUGAUUUCUGGUGUUCUGGCUGCUUGUAAAAAAUGUCUCUGGAUUCCAGCUAAAAAAUUUAUUUCACAACACAAUUACACUCACUGCAAAUGCCUCUGGUUCAUGUGCUGCUUUGUUCAGUGAGAAAAGAGCCUCGAAGAUUGGCUCAUUGUAGUCAUGUAUAGGGCUAUCUAUUCUGUUAAUAAAAGAAAAGUUGAACCAUAGAUGCUGCUAUAUCUUUUUCCCCCUACUUCUAAAAGGAAAAGAGAGACAAUCUUUCAGAGUUCAACAUGAGCAUAUUUUCUAAAUACCUCCAGCAUGGGCCCUCAAGGUGGCAGCCGAAAGGGCAAAAUCUUGAAGGUCUCAUGUUCAGAACACUCCCUCCCCCCUUCUCUCUUCCCUGGAUUAUAUGUGGUUUGUUUGUACACUUCCAUGGAACAUAUUUGGAGAUUGAGGGAAGCAAAGUUAUUAAAAAAAUGUCACAACUGUUCUCUGCAGUCGCAGUGGGUGAGAUAUCCCAGACGUUCAUGCCUGGUUGCCUCUUUCAUCUAUUCAAUUCUCUCUUUUUUUUAAAAAAAAAAAUGUUUACAAAUUUUCUUGAGACAGGUUGAAUAUUUUAAUAGAAGAAAGUAUGGUUUUAAUAUUGUAUGGUUCAAUUUUGUCCUUGAUCAUUGAACUUACCAGUAAAUUUUAUUAGUAAUUGAAUUCAAUUUGUAUUGGUAAAAACACUAAACUUUGAUUUUGUUUCAAUGGAAAUCAAUUUGGGUGAAAUUCUAUGAGAAAGUAACAACAUUGACCCUAUGGGAUCAAAAUUGUAGUUUGGUUAUUUUGUUGAUGCAAAUUAAAGUUUAGUAAUUAUGUUAAAUAAUGAUGAGUUCAAUAACCAUUGUUGAAAUUCACCCUUUUCAUAUUUCAGCCAAAGAUUCUCUACUCGGCAUGGAUUGGGUGUGUGUGUGUUUGUGUGUGUAUUCUAGCUUCAAACUCUGUAUCAAUUGUACCUCAUGCUUUUAUUCUCACGAGUAUAAAUGUUGUAGCUUAUCUGUGCCUGCUAGAGGAUUUGGGGUGGUGGCAUCUUGUAAUUUUGGGGUUGCAUGUGUGCUUCAUAAGCAUUAGUGCAUGUGUUUUGGCGGAGCUUUCCAGAUCGAGUUGUUGGCAGAAGAUGCAGAUGACUGGUCUAAGAAGUUAAUUAUUUGCAUUGUGCUCCUAGUUUCUGUUUGUUCUUACUAGAAUUGUAUAUGUAUCUGGAGUUAAAAAGCCCCUGCAGCAGAAAUGGGCCUGGGAGUAGAUGUGUAUGUAGAUGAAUAUUACUUGUUUGCUAUAGUUUUGGUACUCUAUCAGCAAUACUGCACAGAUUCUUGCAAAAUAUUCUUCCUGGGUUGCUGCAUUUUUGGUUGGUAAGAGAAAAUGACUUGCUUUUCUUUCUCACUUUGAAUCUAAUGCUUGGUUUUGUUGUUGUAUAUUUAUCUCUUGUACUUACUGCUAAUGUGGUUUCAUGGGAAUAUAUGCCAAGUUGCACAUGAUGUUGCCUAUUCAUAUUAAUAUGGCCAAGCUGGUUGGUUUGAUUAUUUGUGCAUCUAUUAUUUGCUGAACAACAGUAGUUUUGGCACAUUAUCUAAAAAAUUUUGUUAUUUUCUUUUUUGUAGGCUUCGGAGCUCUCUGUGGCUUCAGUUUAAGCCUCAUCAUAUUGCUGCUGGUGCCGCUUACCUCGCUGCCAGGUUUUUAAAUUUUGAUCUGGCUUGUCACCAGAAUAUUUGGCAGGAGUUUCAAACCACACCGGCCAUUAUCCAAGAUGUAGCACAGCAGUUGAUGGAGCUCUUUUAAUAAGAUGUUACUAGUUUGGUAGGCUUGUCGGCUGAUGGUAGACUCUAGGCCUUGUGGAUACAAAUUGAAAUCAGAAUAUACAUGUUUUGGUAUUGUAGAGAUGAUCAUGGAUAGUGUUUUGCAAUGUGAAAGGCUUGCAAACGAGAGGAUAUUCAGGUAUCUGUGUGUCAAAAUUUGCUGUUGAUUAACAUUAAAUGGAUAUGAUUCGUGAGCUGUAAGAGUGUCGUCCUAGUGGAAUGAGGCUGAAUAUUUUAAUUUC